Long non-coding RNA from Aricia agestis (brown argus), 226 nucleotides. RefSeq lists it as uncharacterized. NCBI's taxonomy places the organism in Eukaryota, Metazoa, Arthropoda, Insecta, Lepidoptera, Lycaenidae. The record is from RefSeq and is a predicted model, not a curated record. The transcript is spliced from 3 exons.
AAAAUGAGUAAGACAGAAUACUAUCAAUGAAUCAGUCAAUGGAUAGUAAAAUGUGUCCAUAAUUUUAUGGUAGAUUUAUUAAAAAAAGAAAUUGCAAUAACUUUGUUAUUUUUAGAUAUUAUAAAAUUAUUUCUUCACAUAUAUGAUAAUAAUGGCAUGCCUGAUAAGCCCCUAAAGUAUUUGUACUAAUUAAAAAAUAGUGGUGUAUAUAAUUAAAAUUUUAAAG